AGGUGAGCGGGGCUUCGGCCCCGUGGAAACUGGUGCACGGGUGAGUAACGCGUGGGAAUCUACCCCGGGGUGGGGAAUAACCGCUGGAAACGGCGGCUAAUACCGCAUACGCCUUGAGAGGGAAAGCUUUAUGCGCCCUGGGAUGAGCCCGCGUCGGAUUAGCUUGUUGGUGAGGUAACGGCUCACCAAGGCUUCGAUCCGUAGCUGGUCUGAGAGGAUGAUCAGCCACACUGGGGCUGAGACACGGCCCAGACUCCUACGGGAGGCAGCAGUGGGGAAUAUUGGACAAUGGGGGCAACCCUGAUCCAGCCAUGCCGCGUGCGUGAAGAAGGCCUUAGGGUUGUAAAGCGCUUUCGGCGGGGAAGAUGAUGACGGUACCCGCAGAAGAAGCCCCGGCUAACUCCGUGCCAGCAGCCGCGGUAAUACGGAGGGGGCAAGCGUUGUUCGGAAUUACUGGGCGUAAAGGGCGCGUAGGCGGAUUAUCAAGUCAGAGGUGAAAGCCCUGGGCUCAACCUGGGAACUGCCUUUGAAACUGAUAGUCUUGAGUCCGAGAGAGGAUGGCGGAAUUCCCAGUGUAGAGGUGAAAUUCGUAGAUAUUGGGAAGAACACCAGUGGCGAAGGCGGCCAUCUGGCUCGGUACUGACGCUGAGGCGCGAAAGCGUGGGGAGCAAACAGGAUUAGAUACCCUGGUAGUCCACGCCGUAAACGAUGUGUGCUAGCCGUUGGGAAACCUAGUUUUUCAGUGG
This 746-nucleotide ribosomal RNA is filed under the name uncultured deep-sea bacterium. RNAcentral's name for it is "bacterial SSU rRNA". It matches the Rfam family "Bacterial small subunit ribosomal RNA", at positions 66 to 846 of the family's 1533-position model. The record is from RNAcentral.